Aedes albopictus (Asian tiger mosquito) is the source of this 46-nucleotide non-coding RNA. Lineage: Eukaryota; Metazoa; Arthropoda; Insecta; Diptera; Culicidae. The record is from Rfam.
CAAACGGUUCUUUUUAGAACCAUCGAAAAUGCUUCCUAGAGAAUUA